CGGUUGCAGGGAGAUUGCUUCUCCUCUCCCUCUGCCCCCCUCCUUCUUGUGUGCCCUCUCUCUCAUAUAGAUCAAUAAAAUCUUUAAAAACAAAACAAAAAACACCUCUAGCUUCCAUCUCUGUUUUAGGGAGGUGUAUCCCAGAGCACAUAAUAAUGUUACUCAUAGUUAUUCAUUGAGAGUUUCAUUUUCCUCCCCUUCCCCGUAACAACACUAGGGAGGGAGUGUGAUUUCUGGAUCAACUCCCUUUUUAAAAGUCCUAGGCUGAUCAUUUCAGCUCUGUAAGAGCCUUCCUUGAGAUUGGCUCACUUCAUUCACUAUGGUCAGCGCAAAUUCCCCUUUGGUGACCUGCGAACAUAGGAGUUCUGUAAAUGUCUGUGCAUUAACUGACUGUCCCUUAGAGUUACCAUUUCUACAGAUAGCUGAUCUCGUCUGGUAUGCUAAGUUUUGCCUUCUUGAAAGGGCCCUGAUGUUGCUUCUGCGUCCAGACCAUUUUUGCAACAUCUACACACAAGAGAAGAAAUGACGGAUGUAGCUGAAACCAGAGCAAACUGAAGAGCAUCUCUGGUUCCUGCCGGAAGGAAACAAAAAACUUCAAUUCUCCAAAGGGAAGCUACUCCGUCUGCAGCACAUAGGCCUUUACUGGAAACCCUGUUGCAUUUCCUCGGAGCAGUAGGCAUCAGGGACCCAUUGGAGAGCAAUGCUGAAUGUGUGUCCCUGUCCCGCUGGCUCUUAUGGCUGAGGGAGGGAAGUGAACAGAAACCAUGCCAUUUACUUCUGUGAGAUUUACUUCUGACUUGGACAAAGACACAGAAUUGCUAAAUGGAAUUCAGAGCAGAGAGCAACUGUUGCAAUUGCUUGCUGAGGCUGGAGCCGGUAAGGACUUGAAUAAGCAAAGGUUGGACCUGGUCAGAUCUGUUCUGAUUGCUGCAAAUGCCCGGAGGCUCCAAGCCAAGGGCGGCUCCCAUUCCACCUGGGCCGAGGAGGGAACAGGCCCGGGAAGAUCUUCAGGCUCCAGAAGCCAGCAGCCCCUGCAGAUGGCUGGGUCAUUUUGUGGUUUACAAAUGAUCGAGUCAGGUUGAAGCCGCAGUCUCUGUGGUUACGGGCAACCAUGAUUAGUCACACAGUCAGUGACCCAGUUAUGGCACACCCUCUUUUAA
Canis lupus familiaris (dog) is the source of this 1160-nucleotide long non-coding RNA. RefSeq lists it as uncharacterized. The record is from RefSeq and is a predicted model, not a curated record. Lineage: Eukaryota; Metazoa; Chordata; Mammalia; Carnivora; Canidae. The transcript is spliced from 5 exons.